CUACGGGGGGCUCCAGUGGGGAAUAUUGGACAAUGGGGGCAACCCUGAUCCAGCCAUGCCGCGUGUGUGAAGAAGGCCUUUUGGUUGUAAAGCACUUUAAGCAGGGAGGAGAGGCUAAUGGUUAAUACCCAUUAGAUUAGACGUUACCUGCAGAAUAAGCACCGGCUAACUCUGUGCCAGCAGCCGCGGUAAUACAGAGGGUGCGAGGGUAAUCGGAAUUACUGGGCGUAAAGCGAGUGUAGGUGGCUCAUUAAGUCACAUGUGAAAUCCCCGGGCUUAACCUGGGAACUGCAUGUGAUACUGGUGGUGCUAGAAUAUGUGAGAGGGAAGUAGAAUUCCAGGUGUAGCGGUGAAAUGCGUAGAGAUCUGGAGGAAUACCGAUGGCGAAGGCAGCUUCCUGGCAUAAUAUUGACACUGAGAAUCGAAAGCGUGGGUAGCAAACAGGAUUAGAUACCCGAGUAGUC
This 464-nucleotide ribosomal RNA is filed under the name uncultured bacterium. Its description in RNAcentral is "partial 16S ribosomal RNA". It matches the Rfam family "Bacterial small subunit ribosomal RNA", at positions 339 to 795 of the family's 1533-position model. The record is from RNAcentral.